RNAcentral lists this non-coding RNA (87 nucleotides) under Pseudomonas tolaasii NCPPB 2192. Lineage: Bacteria; Pseudomonadati; Pseudomonadota; Gammaproteobacteria; Pseudomonadales; Pseudomonadaceae. The record is from RNAcentral.
UGUGGGAGCUGGCUUGCCUGCGAUGCGGGCACCGCGGUGCAUCAGACAGACCGGGUUGAUGCCAUCGCAGGCAAGCCAGCUCCCACA